GGAGUUAGCCGGUGCUUCUUCUGUGAGUGAUGUCCUUCCUGCCGGUUAUUGACCCGCAGGCCUUCUUCCUCACUGAAAGUGCUUUACAACCCGAAGGCCUUCUUCACACACGCGGCAUGGCUGGAUCAGGGUUGCCCCCAUUGUCCAAUAUUCCCCACUGCUGCCUCCCGUAGGAGUCUGGGCCGUGUCUCAGUCCCAGUGUGGCUGAUCAUCCUCUCAGACCAGCUACGGAUCGUCGCCUUGGUGAGCCGUUACCUCACCAACCAGCUAAUCCGACAUAGGCUCAUCCGAUAGCGCGAGGCCCGAAGGUCCCCCGCUUUCCCCCGUAGGGCGUAUGCGGUAUUAGCCUGGGUUUCCCCAGGUUAUCCCCCACUACCGGGCAUAUUCCUAUGCAUUACUCACCCGUCCGCCGCUCGCCACCAGGGAGCAAGCUCCCCGUGCUGCCGCUCGACUUGCAUGUGUUAGGCCUGCCGCCAGCGUUCAAUCUGAGCAUAAUACAACUACUGA
RNAcentral lists this ribosomal RNA (507 nucleotides) under uncultured bacterium. RNAcentral's name for it is "partial 16S ribosomal RNA". The record is from RNAcentral.